GUCCACGCCGUAAACGAUGGGUACUAGGUGUUGCGGGUAUUGACCCCUGCAGUGCCGAAGCUAACGCAUUAAGUACCCCGCCUGGGGAGUACGGUCGCAAGACUAAAACUCAAAGGAAUUGACGGGGGCCCCGCACAAGCGGUGGAGCAUGUGGUUUAAUUCGACGCAACGCGCAGAACCUUACCUGGGCUUGACAUCCCGAUCGCACUCUCUGGAAACAGAGGGGUCAGUUCGGCUGGAUCGGUGACAGGUGCUGCAUGGCUGUCGU
RNAcentral lists this ribosomal RNA (268 nucleotides) under uncultured bacterium. RNAcentral describes it as "partial 16S ribosomal RNA". It matches the Rfam family "Bacterial small subunit ribosomal RNA", at positions 793 to 1055 of the family's 1533-position model. The record is from RNAcentral.